Molecule: long non-coding RNA, 288 nt
Filed under: Olea europaea (common olive)
Lineage: Eukaryota; Viridiplantae; Streptophyta; Magnoliopsida; Lamiales; Oleaceae
Description: long non-coding RNA (OEUR_LNC003252)
Source: RNAcentral
AGCAUUCAUAAAACCAAAGACAUCGAACGUAACGCACUUAUUUCACAAAUACACGAUUAUACAUAAAAAUUGAGAGAAAAGAGAGAGAAUCACCUGAAUUGAUAGAAAUUCUGUUAAUUUACAAAAAAGUUAAAUUCUCCCCUCUCUGUUUUUUUGUUUCCCUUUUUUCUAUUUUCCUGAGUUAAUUAUUUUGGUGAGGAUGGAGAAGAUACUUGUUUUGAGGCACUAAGGUAUACGUGAAGCAAGAAACAUCAAGUUUUAAGUGUGCACGUGCCUAGCGAGAUGCGG